Molecule: ribosomal RNA, 411 nt
Filed under: uncultured Ottowia sp.
Lineage: Bacteria; Pseudomonadati; Pseudomonadota; Betaproteobacteria; Burkholderiales; Comamonadaceae
Description: bacterial SSU rRNA
Rfam family: Bacterial small subunit ribosomal RNA
Source: RNAcentral
CCUACGGGAGGCAGCAGUAGGGAAUAUUCCACAAUGAGCGAAAGCUUGAUGGAGCGACACAGCGUGCACGAUGAAGGCCCUCGGGUUGUAAAGUGCUGUUGCAAGGGAAGAACACUUAGUUGAGGAAAUGCAACUAAGCUGACGGUACCUUGUUAGAAAGCGAUGGCUAACUAUGUGCCAGCAGCCGCGGUAAUACAUAGGUCGCAAGCGUUAUCCGGAAUUAUUGGGCGUAAAGCGUUCGUAGGCUGUUUAUUAAGUCUGGAGUCAAAUCCCAGGGCUCAACCCUGGCUCGCUUUGGAUACUGGUAAACUAGAGUUGGAUAGAGGUAAGCGGAAUUCCAUGUGAAGCGGUGAAAUGCGUAGAUAUAUGGAAGAACACCAAAGGCGAAGGCAGCUUACUGGGUCUAUACUG